This 712-nucleotide ribosomal RNA is filed under the name uncultured bacterium. RNAcentral's name for it is "bacterial SSU rRNA". It matches the Rfam family "Bacterial small subunit ribosomal RNA", at positions 102 to 791 of the family's 1533-position model. The record is from RNAcentral.
ACGGGUGAGUAACGCGUAGGUAACCUGCCUGGUAGAGGGGGCUUCUAUUGGAAACGAUAGCUAAUACCGCAUAAGAGUAGAUGUUGCAUGACAUUUGCUUAAAAGGUGGAAAUGGAUCACUACCAGAUGGACCUGCGUUGUAUUAGCUAGUUGGUGGGGUAACGGCUCACCAAGGCGACGAUACAUAGCCGACCUGAGAGGGUGAUCGGCCACACUGGGACUGAGACACGGCCCAGACUCCUACGGGAGGCAGCAGUAGGGAAUCUUCGGCAAUGGACGGAAGUCUGACCGAGCAACGCCGCGUGAGUGAAGAAGGUUUUCGGAUCGUAAAGCUCUGUUGUAUUUUUUUUUACGAGUGUGAGAGUGGAAAGUUCACACUGCGACGGUAUCUUACCAGCAAGGGACGGCUCACUACGUGCCAGCAGCCGCGGUAAUACGUAGGUCCCGAGCGUUGUCCGGAUUUAUUGGGCGUAAAGCGAGCGCAGGCGGUUAGAUAACUCUGAAGUUAAAGGCUGUGGCUUAACCAUACUACCCUUUGGAACCUGUUUAACUUUGAGUGCAUGAGGGGAGAGUGGAAUUCCAUGUGUCCCCGGGUGAAGUGCGGAAAAUAUAUGGAAGUAGCACCGGAGGGCGAAAGCGGCUCUCUGGGCCUGUAUCUGACGCUGGAGGCUCGAAAAGGCUGGGGGGAGCAAGCAGGAUUAGAUACUCUAUG